GUGGGUAUGGCCUAGUUGGUUAGGGCGCCAGAUUGUGGCUCUGGAGGUCAUGGGUUCGAAUCCCAUUACCCACCCCA
Molecule: transfer RNA, 77 nt
Filed under: Soehngenia saccharolytica
Lineage: Bacteria; Bacillati; Bacillota; Tissierellia; Tissierellales; Tissierellaceae
Also listed under: 3 other names
Description: tRNA-His
Rfam family: tRNA
About the family: Transfer RNA (tRNA) molecules are approximately 80 nucleotides in length. Their secondary structure includes four short double-helical elements and three loops (D, anti-codon, and T loops).
Source: RNAcentral